This 314-nucleotide ribosomal RNA is filed under the name uncultured eukaryote. Its description in RNAcentral is "partial 18S ribosomal RNA". It matches the Rfam family "Eukaryotic small subunit ribosomal RNA", at positions 1470 to 1796 of the family's 1831-position model. The record is from RNAcentral.
CCCUUAGAUGUUCUGGGCCGCACGCGUGCUACACUGAGUGGAUCAGCGGGUCAGGUUGCGCGAAAGUGUUUCCUAAUCUUGAAAUCCGCUCGUGAUGGGGAUUGACGGUUGCAAUUUUCCGUCAUGAACGAGGAAUACCUUGUAAGCGCGGGUCAUCAUCCCGCGCUGAAUACGUCCCUGCCCUUUGUACACACCGCCCGUCGCUCCUACCGAUUUCGAGUGGUCCGGUGAACCUUUCGGACCGGGAGCAGCCUCGUGCUGCGCCUGGAAAGUCAAGUAAACCACAUCACUUAGAGGAAGGAGAAGUCGUAACA